GUUCACAAGUUCAUUUUAACUUUGUUUCCAAAGUUGAGAGACGAGGGCGGGUUCGAGCUGCUGUAAAUUGCUUGAACUACACAGAGCCAUCAUCUUAUACCUGUCCCAUGCCCCAAUCGGGGCUACAGUUUGAGAUAUCUGAAAGACCCUUGUGUCGUGCUACUCUACAUUCGCCCGCUGUAAAGGAAAGUCUAAUUUCUCAGUUUAUGCACUUUUAAUGAACUUUAGAGCACUUACUAAUCCAAAGUAGAUAUGUUGAGUGUUAAGCAAUAUUUACAACAGAUAAUAACAAAAAUCUAUAGAUGAUAAGUGUCUUCUCUGGUUUUUGUAUUUAUUUAUGUAAUUUUCUCAUCAAUUAGGAACUGAAUGAUUCAGUUGUUGCUCAAAGUGGAUCAUUGACACAAUGCCUAAACUGUGAAGAACAACUUUACUUUGCACAAAUAAGAAGGCACAGUGAAGCCUGCUCCAUGUAAUGCUCUGAAUGGGAAAUUAAUCAUGGUGAUGUUGGGAAAAUAUGAUAUUCUCCAUUUAUGGAAGGUGCACUCAUCAUUACAAAUAAUGGUAUGGCCAUGUUGCACAUCAAUAACAUAACACUUAAGUAGUUUGAUCAUUUGUUAGUUUAGAUGUGGAAAAGGUACAAUUUAAUUGAGCUGUUCUGGGUGUUAACUUCUUGGUUCAUUGUUGCUGUACAUUUCUUUAUGAUAAAGAUGAUAAUUACAACACUUCAUUAUCAGGUGUUAUCAGCUGUUGUAGAGGGGAGUUAUGAAAAUGUUCUGUUUAGAUAGCUGUUAGUAUCUGAUAUACCUAACUCCUCGGCUCAACUCUUCAAGUCAAUCACAGGUUGAAAGGACGGGGGAGAAUGAUGGUGCAGCUGUCCCUAGAGCCGGUGGGACAAGUUCCUCCACCGGUCAGCAUCCAGUUGUAGAUUUGGCAAUGGAGCAAGUUCAUCUGGCACAUCAGCAGCAAGUGGUCCAGUAUACACCGUUGAUGAACCAAACCCGGUCAAGGCGGCUCAGCUGUUCACAUACUGGACACUUCAGUCCAACAAGGGCAAAGACUACCUGACCUUGAGUUUGAGGGAUUCCUUAGUGGAAAGGAACAGGGCCAUAAUCAUUUUUUCACAAUGGCAUCCAAUGGCUAGGUUUGCUGAGCUUGUGUAACUCUACAUUGACUGAUUUCAAAUAUGUUUACAAGGUGACUCUGCCAUUGGAGAGGGGGUCACCAGGUAUGUCCUGUCCACUGUCAUGGAGAAUCUUUUUAAUAUAUUGAUUUAUAGACUUGUAGAUUAUGUGAAACAGUUUUUCCCCAGGUCAGUCAAAAAGAGAACUGUUUAUUUAAGAAUACCUUGAUAUUUGAGGGUGAGCAGGACCAUUGUGUUC
This is a long non-coding RNA of Oncorhynchus gorbuscha (pink salmon), 1379 nucleotides long. RefSeq lists it as uncharacterized. The transcript is spliced from 3 exons. The record is from RefSeq and is a predicted model, not a curated record. Lineage: Eukaryota; Metazoa; Chordata; Actinopteri; Salmoniformes; Salmonidae.